RNAcentral lists this ribosomal RNA (434 nucleotides) under uncultured Lachnospiraceae bacterium. RNAcentral describes it as "bacterial SSU rRNA". It matches the Rfam family "Bacterial small subunit ribosomal RNA", at positions 341 to 792 of the family's 1533-position model. The record is from RNAcentral. Lineage: Bacteria; Bacillati; Bacillota; Clostridia; Lachnospirales; Lachnospiraceae.
ACGGGAGGCAGCAGUGGGGGAUAUUGCACAAUGGGGGAAACCCUGAUGCAGCGACGCCGCGUGAGUGAAGAAGUAUUUCGGUAUGUAAAGCUCUAUCAGCAGGGAAGAUAAUGACGGUACCUGACUAAGAAGCACCGGCUAAAUACGUGCCAGCAGCCGCGGUAAUACGUAUGGUGCAAGCGUUAUCCGGAUUUACUGGGUGUAAAGGGAGCGUAGACGGCUGUGCAAGUCUGAAGUGAAAGCCCCGGGCUCAACUCGGGAACUGCUUUGGAAACUGUGCAGCUAGAGUGCAGGAGAGGUAAGUGGAAUUCCUAGUGUAGCGGUGAAAUGCUUAGAUAUUAGGAGGAACACCAGUGGCGAAGGCGGCUUACUGGACUGUAACUGACGUUGAGGCUCGAAAGCGUGGGGAGCAAACAGGAUUAGAUACCCUGGUA